AUUUAGGUGCCAGAGAGAGA
This 20-nucleotide microRNA is filed under the name Ornithorhynchus anatinus (platypus). RNAcentral describes it as "oan-miR-1406-5p". Lineage: Eukaryota; Metazoa; Chordata; Mammalia; Monotremata; Ornithorhynchidae. The record is from miRBase by way of RNAcentral.